UGCCAGACUCCUACGGGAGGCAGCAGUGGGGAAUAUUGCACAAUGGGGGAAACCCUGAUGCAGCGACGCCGCGUGAGCGAUGAAGUAUUUCGGUAUGUAAAGCUCUCUCAGCAGGGAAGAAAAUGACGGUACCUGACUAAGAAGCCCCGGCUAACUACGUGCCAGCAGCCGCGGUAAUACGUAGGGGGCAAGCGUUAUCCGGAUUUACUGGGUGUAAAGGGAGCGUAGACGGUCCUGCAAGCCAGAUGUGAAAGCCCGGGGCUCAACCCCGGGACUGCCCUUGGAACUGCAUGGCUGGAGUGCGGGAGGGGCAGGCGGAAUUCCUGGUGUAGCGGUGAAAUGCGUAGAUAUCAGGAGGAACACCGGCGGCGAAGGCGGCCUGCUGGACCGCGACUGACGUUGAGGCUCGAAAGCGUGGGGAGCGAACAGGAUUAGAUACCCGAGUA
This 446-nucleotide ribosomal RNA is filed under the name uncultured bacterium. RNAcentral's name for it is "bacterial SSU rRNA". It matches the Rfam family "Bacterial small subunit ribosomal RNA", at positions 329 to 792 of the family's 1533-position model. The record is from RNAcentral.